This is a long non-coding RNA of Hibiscus syriacus, 87 nucleotides long. RefSeq lists it as uncharacterized. NCBI's taxonomy places the organism in Eukaryota, Viridiplantae, Streptophyta, Magnoliopsida, Malvales, Malvaceae. The transcript is spliced from 3 exons. The record is from RefSeq and is a predicted model, not a curated record.
AUUUAUAAUAUUUAUGGUAACAACAAACCAGAACUUGUUCAUUCAGGUUAAACUCAUAACAAGCUAUUUACAUUAAACUCGAGACAU